RNAcentral lists this long non-coding RNA (1227 nucleotides) under Papio anubis (olive baboon). Its description in RNAcentral is "lncRNA (ENSPANG00000045523.1)". Lineage: Eukaryota; Metazoa; Chordata; Mammalia; Primates; Cercopithecidae. The record is from RNAcentral.
AUGCAGGCGCUCCAAGGGGGGUCUCGGAGGCAGCUGAGUGGGCAGCGCGCCGGCUUUGUGCCGGGGAAGCCUGCACGGCCAUUGUGCUCGGAGGAUGCUCGGCUGCAGCCGGUUGCACGCCCAGCCCCUGCGCCCCGGGAGCUGAGCCCGGACAAUGCCCCGAGGGGCUGGGCCGGGACCGCGCUGGGGGCACUCGGCGGGCGGGGCUGGGGGGCUUCGCCCGCGGCGUGGGAGGGGGCUGGGCUGGAAGCGCCCGAAGCGCGGUGUUGGAAGCUGCCCAGCGCCGCCGGCUGCACCACCCCGGGCUGCGGGCGGGGCAGAGGCGCGGAGGGGGGCGCGCGUGUGUGCGGAGCGGGUGCCGGCCCCGGCGGCGUCCGGCCUGGGUCCCCGGGCGGGUCCUGGAGGCAGGGGGCGCUGUGCCGGGGGAUCGGGGUCGUGCAGGCGCCCCGGAGCGGAGAGGAGCCGGGACGGGUGGCUGGAGGCGGGGUGGCUCCAGGGCUGCUGCGCCCGCCGCCUUUCCUCUCCGGGUCCCCCUCCCCUGGAGACCCCCGAGUCUACGCCGUCUCCCCUGGCACACUCCGGGCCCUGUCGUUGCCUUAUGGGAGGUCGCCCCUCCGGCACUCGGGCCUUGCCCCACCCUUUUGCGGCCCCGGCGCCCCCUUCCAGCGCCCCCACCCAGGGGCGAGCCUCAGCCCCCAGCCCCAGGGGCUCUGGCGGGCAGACGCGCACGCCCAGCACCCUAGUCUCCCCUCCACGCUGGGGGCCCCGUGGGGAUCCCAAGAGUGGGGAAGCCGCCCCUGGAGCCGCCAGCCCCGCGGGUUCCGCACGCUCCGGGAGCCCCCUGGGGGCUGCGGGGGGGGAGGGGCGGUGACGUCAUCCCGGGGGCGGGGCCGCCGGCACCGGGUUAAAGGGGGCGCGGGGCGUGCCCUGAGGGGAGCCCCCCAGGUUAGAGUGCCCGCGCCGCCGUGGGUGCGAGGGUUCGGCCAGGCUGCGGCCAAGUUCACCGCUCUUUAUGGGAAUCUCCUAAAAUUGAGAUCCUCCCCUUCGGACCUCCCCCUACAAAUCCUGGACAUUUCCCAGCAAUUCCCCCCCUUCCCAAAUUGGGGAACUCCCCUUCGGCCGCUUUCUCUCCAGGAUCCUCAUAUCAGGGAACCUUUCCCACAAACUGGGAUUCUUUUUUUCAACCACACCCCCCGCCCCAAAUCUGGGACCUCCUUCUUCGGUUGA